GCGUUAAUAUAUGACCCGAUUAGCAGCUUCCGGGAAACCAAAGUUUUUCGUUUCCGGGGGAAGUAUGGUUGCAAAGCUGAAACUUAAAGGAAUUGACGGAAGGGCACCACCAGGAGUGGAGCCUGCGGCUUAAUUUGACUCAACACGGGAAAACUCACCCGGCCCGGACACCGUAAGGAUUGACAGACUGAGAGCUCUUUCUUAAUUCGGUGGGUGGUGGUGCAUGGCCGUUCUUAGUUGGUGGAGCGAUUUGUCUGGUUAAUUCCGAUAACGAACGAGACUCUGGCCUAUUAAAUAGACGAUAUAUUUAAAAGUAUAUCGCGCUUCUUAGAGGGACAAGCGGCGUCUAGCCGCAUGAAAUAGAGCAAUAACAGGUCUGUGAUGCCCUUAGAUGUCCGGGGCUGCACGCGCGCUACACUGAAAGAAUCAGUGUGCGUUACGCCUAGUUCGGAAGAACCGGGUAACCCAAGUAAAUUCUUUCGUGCUUGGGAUAGGGAAUUGCAAUUAUUUCCCUUAAACGAGGAAUUCCCAGUAAU
RNAcentral lists this ribosomal RNA (536 nucleotides) under Aporcelaimellus sp. MCt52. RNAcentral's name for it is "SSU rRNA". It matches the Rfam family "Eukaryotic small subunit ribosomal RNA", at positions 1060 to 1621 of the family's 1831-position model. The record is from RNAcentral. Lineage: Eukaryota; Metazoa; Nematoda; Enoplea; Dorylaimida; Aporcelaimidae.